This is a non-coding RNA of Favolaschia claudopus, 103 nucleotides long. Lineage: Eukaryota; Fungi; Basidiomycota; Agaricomycetes; Agaricales; Mycenaceae. The record is from the annotation of a GenBank genome assembly.
GGAUGGAUGGCCGAGUGGUCUAUGGCGCUAGUUUCAGGUCGAGGACGAAUACAAGACCAUACUAGUCUCUUCGGGGGCGUGGGUUCGAAUCCCACUCCAUUCA